UACGCGUAGGCGCCUGGCAACUCAACCAAUGGUAGUAUUUUUUGUGCUAAAUAUUUUCAUUGUUUGGUUAAGUUUUCUUUCAAAAAAUAUGUGUUUCAUUAUGCAUACAUUCAACUUUCGUUGGUCUGAUUCUUUUUCAAUUCAGAGGAAAGAUUUGCUAUGUUUUUCUUUAUUUAGCUUUAGCAAAUCGGACAAGGGAUGUACAGAUAGUGUUUGGUCCAUUCACAAGACUGUGUGUGAUCAUCCCAGCAUUAUCAAACUACAAGAAACCGACAAAAUUGGAUUUCUGGAAAGGGGUUCGAGCCCCGUGCCAGGAAGGGAUUUGUGCAUACAAGUAUCAGGUUUGUUCUUUUGCAAAAUGUCUAACAUAGCGGAGAAGAGAUCAUGGAAAGAGUUGUAUUUGGUGGAUGAUGGUCAAAAGGUUUGUGUAAAGUUGAAAUCAUUUUUCUUAGCAAAAAAAGUUGAAAUCAUUUUGGUUGGGGAAAAGAAACACGAGGGAAAGAAGUUUUGUGUUAUGGUCCAAACUCCAAAGCUAUUGUAAUUUGUGUGUUAAUCUUACCCACAAAUUUAAAAA
Molecule: long non-coding RNA, 574 nt
Organism: Brassica napus (rape)
Lineage: Eukaryota; Viridiplantae; Streptophyta; Magnoliopsida; Brassicales; Brassicaceae
Exons: 2
Source: RefSeq, a predicted model, not a curated record